Molecule: ribosomal RNA, 429 nt
Filed under: Actinomycetes bacterium
Lineage: Bacteria; Bacillati; Actinomycetota; Actinomycetes
Description: Actinobacteria bacterium partial 16S ribosomal RNA
Rfam family: Bacterial small subunit ribosomal RNA
Source: RNAcentral
UAGGGAAUCUUCCGCAAUGGGCGAAAGCCUGACGGAGCAACGCCGCGUGAGUGAUGAAGGUCUUCGGAUCGUAAAACUCUGUUAUUAGGGAAGAACAAAUGUGUAAGUAACUAUGCACGUCUUGACGGUACCUAAUCAGAAAGCCACGGCUAACUACGUGCCAGCAGCCGCGGUAAUACGUAGGUGGCAAGCGUUAUCCGGAAUUAUUGGGCGUAAAGCGCGCGUAGGCGGUUUUUUAAGUCUGAUGUGAAAGCCCACGGCUCAACCGUGGAGGGUGAUUGGAAACUGGAAAACUUGAGUGCAGAAGAGGAAAGUGGAAUGCCAUGUGUAGCGGUGAAAUGCGCAGAGAUAUGGAGGAACACCAGUGGCGAAGGCGACUUGCUGGUCUGUAACUGACGCUGAUGUGCGAAAGCGUGGGGAUCAAACAGG